GACGAACGCUGGCGGCGUGCUUAACACAUGCAAGUCGAACGGUGAAGCGCCUUCCUUUUUGGUGGGUGUGGAUGAGUGGCGAACGGGUGAGUAACACGUGAGUAACCUGCCCCCUUCUUCUGGAUAACCGCAUGAAAGUGUGGCUAAUACGGGAUAUUCUGGGUCUGUCGCAUGAUGGGUCUGGGAAAGAUGUUGUUUCGGUGGGGGAUGGGCUCGCGGCCUAUCAGCUUGUUGGUGGGGUGAUGGCCUACCAAGGCGGUGACGGGUAGCCGGCCUGAGAGGGUGGACGGUCACACUGGGACUGAGGCACGGCCAAGACUCCUACGAGAGGCAGCAGUGGGGAAUAUUGCACAAUGGGCGCAAGCCUGAUGCAGCGACGCCGCGUGAGGGAUGGAGGCCUUCGGGUUGUGAACCUCUUUCGCCAGUGAAGCAGGCCUGCCUCGUUUGUGGGUGGGUUGACGGUAGCUGGAGAAGAAGCGCCGGCUAACUACGUG
RNAcentral lists this ribosomal RNA (494 nucleotides) under uncultured bacterium. RNAcentral describes it as "partial 16S ribosomal RNA". It matches the Rfam family "Bacterial small subunit ribosomal RNA", at positions 28 to 507 of the family's 1533-position model. The record is from RNAcentral.